RNAcentral lists this ribosomal RNA (279 nucleotides) under uncultured bacterium. RNAcentral's name for it is "partial 16S ribosomal RNA". It matches the Rfam family "Bacterial small subunit ribosomal RNA", at positions 506 to 784 of the family's 1533-position model. The record is from RNAcentral.
UGCCAGCAGCCGCGGUAAUACAGAGGGUGCGAGCGUUAAUCGGAAUUACUGGGCGUAGAGCGAGCGUAGGUGGUUGAUUAAGUCAGCUGUGAAAUCCCCGGGCUUAACCUGGGAAAGUCAGCUGAUACUGGUUAACUAGAGUAUGUGAGAGGAAAGUAGAAUUCCAGGUGUAGCGGUGAAAUGCGUAGAGAUCUGGAGGAAUACCGAUGGCGAAGGCAGCUUUCUGGCAUAAUACUGACACUGAGGUUCGAAAGCGUGGGUAGCAAACAGGAUUAGAUA